CGCCGGGAAGGCGGCGCGCGCCGUCAUGGCGCUGGCGGAGGCGGCGCUGCGGAGGCAGCUGGGCAAGUAUAAGUUCAGAGACCUGACUAUAGAAGAGCUGAAGAAUGUUAGCAAGGCCUACCCCAACUUCACAUUCUCCAUGAACACAUACACCUUCAAGGAUGGAUCCCAGAAGGACCUCCUGAAUUUUAGUGGCACUGUUCCAGUGAAAUAUGGUAAUUCCUAUAACAUACCUAUUCAUCUGUGGAUCCUGGAUUCCCAUCCCUUUGCUCCCCCUAUUUGCUUCCUGAAGCCGACUGCAAACAUGGGCAUUGCAGUGGGGAAACACGUUGAUGCACGGGGCAGGAUUUAUUUGCCCUACCUGCAGAACUGGAACCAUCCUAAAUCAACUCUCAUUGGAUUAAUCAAGGAAAUGAUCGCAAAGUUUGAGGAAGAGCUUCCUUUGUACUCACUGUCAUCUUCUGAUGCAGACAGGCAAUCAGAACUUCUCUCCUAUAUUGCAAAGAUUACUGAAGGAGAGACUGACAUGAAAUCAAGGGGUAAAACUGGCAGAAAUGAAGGAUGCUUUAAUAAAAUUACUGUUGUUGGAGCUGGAGAUCUUGGCAUUGCAUGUGUACUAGCAGUUGCAGCAAAGGACAUUGCAGACAAGGUGGUUCUUUUGGAUCCUUCUGAAGGUACAGCAAAAGGAGGGACCAUGGAUUUGGAGAUUUUUGCUGUGCCAAAUGUGGAGAUCAGCAAAGAUUUUUCUGCUUCAGCUGAUUCCAAAGUUGUGGUGCUUACAGUUAAUUCUCUGGGUAAUGCUCAGACUUACCUUGAUGUCAUACAAAGCAAUGUGGAUUUGUUCAGAGGAAUUAUUCCAGCAGUAUCCCACUACAGUCAGAAUGCUGUUCUCCUUGUUGCUUCUCAUCCAGCUUUGAGCAGGACACUAUCUUUGAGGGUUUUUUCUUUACUGUUACCAAGAUUAAAGAAAAUAGUGUACUUUGUUUUGUGUAACAGGUAUGUAUUUCUUUGUUUCUGUGCGUGGUUUCAACCUGGCUGUGUCUACAUUGUUAGCAUCCAUUGGCUGUUGUCUUGUGAGUUUUAUGUGCACAUUUCUCCUGUGCAGGAAGGAUAGAUCCAUGUGUGUUGUGAGCCAUAUGAUCACACUUACAGGCUACUAAUACACAAAAUACAGCAUUAACAGUAAAUAUUGCAGCUAGAUUUUGGUGGAAGGUUUCAAUUUCCAGGUUAGUGGUACUGUGAACUAAGACAAAACAAAAUCACUAUUUAGGAGAGGGAAAGAAGUGUGAGGCUCUAUCCUGUAAUGCAUUGAAGACAGCUCUUCUUACUCUCUUACCAUUAUUGUUGCUAAUUUUUUCACUUCUUCUCCACCCAACUUUGUGUUUUAGGUUGAAAUAAACUACCAGUAUAUUCUGACAUGCUUAUGCCUUUUCUAAAUUGAAGUGAUGACAUUUGUGUCGUGGAAGCUGAGCUCAUUUCCCAAAAGCAGAGUAAUUGGAGUAGGUACCAACCUCGAUUCAGA
Molecule: non-coding RNA, 1522 nt
Organism: Pseudopodoces humilis (Tibetan ground-tit)
Lineage: Eukaryota; Metazoa; Chordata; Aves; Passeriformes; Paridae
Source: RefSeq, a predicted model, not a curated record